UACGAAGGGUGCAAGCGUUGUUCGGAAUUACUGGGCGUAAAGGGCUCGUAGGCGGCCAACUAAGUCGGAUGUGAAAUCCCCAGGCUCAACCUGGGAACUGCAUCCGAUACUGGAUGGCUUGAAUUCGGGAGAGGGAUGCAGAAUUCCAGGUGUAGCGGUGAAAUGCGUAGAUAUCUGGAGGAAUACCGGUGGCGAAGGCGGCAUCCUGGACCGACAUUGACGCUGAUGAGCGAAAGCUAGGGGAGCAAACGGG
RNAcentral lists this ribosomal RNA (253 nucleotides) under uncultured bacterium. Its description in RNAcentral is "partial 16S ribosomal RNA". It matches the Rfam family "Bacterial small subunit ribosomal RNA", at positions 524 to 776 of the family's 1533-position model. The record is from RNAcentral.